CACAGCCAUUUCCCAGACCCUGAGCAGAGGAAGAAAGGGGGAGAAACUGAAGAUAUGCCCGGGGAGGAAGAAGGGCAGAUGGAAAAGGAAGACCCAGGGAACAGCAAGGACUGGCUCAGCACCCCUCCGCAGGGUCACUGCCUGCUCCCCGCAGGGUCACACGAUAAGCCACCCCAGCCUUUAUCUGGGUGGCCUUGAGUGGGUCCCAGCCUUUCUGCUGGCUCUGCAGUGCCAGGAGGAGCCUGGCACGUGUACUCAAUGAAACGCACAAUACGUUAAAAGAGGGAACGAAAGAAUGAAUGAGGCUGAAGAUGCUUCAACGCCUGCUGACUCUUCCUCCCCUGACUCUGGAGCCCCAGCUGUGUUCUCUGCUGGGAGCUCAGCUCCCACCCAGAACCCUGUGGGCACCCAAUAAAGAAUCAGAGGGUCAGUGGGACUGGGAAAUGGGAGAUUAAACAAUGUUCACAGGGAUCUCUCCCGUAGGACUUCUUGGAAUCUGGAAGGUACCAAUGUUCAUGGAGAGUCAGACACAGGUGAUCUUAAAUCCCAGACUCUGACGCCUCGUUGCCCAGCAUCCCUCUCGGGUGGGAUGGCUCAGCCACUGAG
Molecule: long non-coding RNA, 606 nt
Organism: Capra hircus (goat)
Lineage: Eukaryota; Metazoa; Chordata; Mammalia; Artiodactyla; Bovidae
Exons: 3
Source: RefSeq, a predicted model, not a curated record